AUAUACUUUGCUGUAUAUGGAGGUAGGAGAGCAUUCUAUGGGGGGCGAAGCUGUCCAGUGAUGGGCGGUGGACCUUAUAGAAAAGAAAAUGUAGGCAUGAGUAACGACAGGCGGGUUAGAUUCCCGCCCACCGAAAGACUAAGGUUUCCUGAUCAACGUUCGUCGUAUCAGGGUUAGUCGGUUCCUAAGGUUUACCCGGUUUACCGGGGACGCCGAUGGCAGACGGGUUAAUAUUCCCGUACAUAUAUCAGCUGCGAUGCAGCGACGGAGAAGUGACACCGGCGCGGACUGACGGAACAGUUCGUUUAAGGAUGUAGGUUUACGCUGGCCAGUUAAGUACGGUCAGUGUGCUGAAUUCUGAAAGUACAGCAAAGCUUCGGCGGCGCUGAUAGUCCGGGUAAUCCUGCUUCCGAGAAAACCUGCUAAGCUUCAGGCUGGUAUAUACCGUACCUUAAACCGACACAGGUAGUCGGGGUGAGAAUCCUAAGGUGUUCGAGCUAAUCAUGGCCAAGGAACUCGGCAAAAUUGUCCUGUAACUUAGGGAGAAGGGACGCUUCCUUUACGUAGCUUGCUAUGUAGAGAAGCCGCAGUGACACGGCCCAGACGACUGUUUAACAAAAACACAUGGCUUUGCCAAAUCGUGAGAUGAAGUAUAAGG
Molecule: ribosomal RNA, 658 nt
Filed under: Klebsiella pneumoniae
Lineage: Bacteria; Pseudomonadati; Pseudomonadota; Gammaproteobacteria; Enterobacterales; Enterobacteriaceae
Description: partial 23S ribosomal RNA
Rfam family: Bacterial large subunit ribosomal RNA
Source: RNAcentral